UGGGGAAUAUUGGACAAUGGGCGAAAGCCUGAUCCAGCCAUGCCGCGUGUGUGAAGAAGGUCUUCGGAUUGUAAAGCACUUUAAGUUGGGAGGAAGGGCAUUAACCUAAUACGUUAGUGUUUUGACGUUACCGACAGAAUAAGCACCGGCUAACUCUGUGCCAGCAGCCGCGGUAAUACAGAGGGUGCAAGCGUUAAUCGGAAUUACUGGGCGUAAAGCGCGCGUAGGUGGUUUGGUAAGUUGGAUGUGAAAUCCCCGGGCUCAACCUGGGAACUGCAUUCAAAACUGACUGACUAGAGUAUGGUAGAGGGUGGUGGAAUUUCCUGUGUAGCGGUGAAAUGCGUAGAUAUAGGAAGGAACACCAGUGGCGAAGGCGACCACCUGGACUAAUACUGACACUGAGGUGCGAAAGCGUGGGGAGCAAACA
RNAcentral lists this ribosomal RNA (427 nucleotides) under uncultured bacterium. RNAcentral describes it as "partial 16S ribosomal RNA". It matches the Rfam family "Bacterial small subunit ribosomal RNA", at positions 355 to 774 of the family's 1533-position model. The record is from RNAcentral.